This 253-nucleotide ribosomal RNA is filed under the name uncultured bacterium. RNAcentral's name for it is "partial 16S ribosomal RNA". It matches the Rfam family "Bacterial small subunit ribosomal RNA", at positions 524 to 776 of the family's 1533-position model. The record is from RNAcentral.
UACGAAGGGGGCUAGCGUUGCUCGGAAUCACUGGGCGUAAAGGGCGCGUAGGCGGCCAUUCAAGUCAGAGGUGAAAGCCCAAGGCUCAACCUUGGAACUGCCUUUGAUACUGUUUGGCUUGAGACCGGUAGAGGUAAGUGGAACUGCGAGUGUAGAGGUGAAAUUCGUAGAUAUUCGCAAGAACACCGGUGGCGAAGGCGGUUCUCUGGGCCUUACCUGACGCUGAGGAGCGAAAGCGUGGGGAGCAAACAGG